AAGUCGUAACAAGGUUUCCGUAGGUGAACCUGCGGAAGGAUCAUUACCGAGAUAUGUAUUGUGUCCACGGCGAGGUAAAAGGAACGGGGGGCCGAGAAAUUGGUCCCCCGCACACAAACCACACCAUCACCAACCUGCCAAUGAUUAAUCCAACCAUUAAAACUUGCAACAAUGGAUCUCUUGGCUCUU
The sequence is an unclassified non-coding RNA, 189 nucleotides long. The stretch from base 1 to 46 matches the Rfam family "Eukaryotic small subunit ribosomal RNA", at positions 1786 to 1831 of the family's 1831-position model.